GACGAACGCUGGCGGCGUGCCUAAUACAUGCAAGUCGAACGCUGAAGGAGGAGCUUGCUCUUCUGGAUGAGUUGCGAACGGGUGAGUAACGCGUAGGUAACCUGCCUGGUAGCGGGGGAUAACUAUUGGAAACGAUAGCUAAUACCGCAUAAAAUUGAUUAUUGCAUGAUAGUCAAUUAAAAGGUGCAAUUGCAUCACUACCAGAUGGACCUGCGUUGUAUUAGCUAGUUGGUGAGGUAACGGCUCACCAAGGCAACGAUACAUAGCCGACCUGAGAGGGUGAUCGGCCACACUGGGACUGAGACACGGCCCAGACUCCUACGGGAGGCAGCAGUAGGGAAUCUUCGGCAAUGGACGGAAGUCUGACCGAGCAACGCCGCGUGAGUGAAGAAGGUUUUCGGAUCGUAAAGCUCUGUUGUAAGAGAAGAACGAGUGUGAGAGUGGAAAGUUCACACUGUGACGGUAUCUUACCAGAAAGGGACGGCUAACUACGUG
Molecule: ribosomal RNA, 495 nt
Filed under: uncultured bacterium
Lineage: Bacteria
Description: partial 16S ribosomal RNA
Rfam family: Bacterial small subunit ribosomal RNA
Source: RNAcentral